GACGAACCGUGCGACCGUUGUUCGGAAUCACUGGGCGUAAAGGGCGCGUAGGCGGCCAUUCAAGUCGGGGGUGAAAGCCUGUGGCUCAACCACAGAAUUGCCUUCGAUACUGUUUGGCUUGAGUAUGGUAGAGGUUGGUGGAACUGCGAGUGUAGAGGUGAAAUUCGUAGAUAUUCGCAAGAACACCAGUGGCGAAGGCGGCCAACUGGACCAUUACUGACGCUGAGGCACGAAAGCGUGGGUAGCAAACAGG
This 253-nucleotide ribosomal RNA is filed under the name uncultured bacterium. RNAcentral's name for it is "partial 16S ribosomal RNA". It matches the Rfam family "Bacterial small subunit ribosomal RNA", at positions 524 to 776 of the family's 1533-position model. The record is from RNAcentral.